UGUCAGGAAAGGAGCAAUUCGCUAUGAGAGGGGUCCGCGGCUGAUUAGCUAGUUGGUGAGGUAAUGGCUCACCAAGGCCACGAUCAGUAGCCGGUCUGAGAGGACGGUCGGCCACACUGGAACUGAGACACGGUCCAGACUCCUACGGGAGGCAGCAGUGGGGAAUUUUUCGCAAUGGGGGAAACCCUGACGAAGCAAUGCCGCGUGGAUGAUGAAGUAUCUCGGUACGUAAAAUCCUUUCGACGGGGACGAAACCGCAAGGUUGACGGUACCCGUAGAAGAAGCCCCGGCUAACUCCGUGCCAGCAGCCGCGGUAAUACGGGGGGGGCAAGCGUUGUUCGGAAUUACUGGGCGUAAAGGGUGCGUAGGCGGCUUUCUAAGUUGGAUGUGAAAACUCUGGGCUCAACCCAGAGACUGCAUCCAAAACUGGAGAGCUUGGGUUCUGGAGGGGAGAGCGGAAUUCCUGGUGUAGCGGUGAAAUGCGUAGAUAUCAGGAGGAACACCGGUGGCGAAGGCGGCUCUCUGGACAGACACCGACGCUGAGGCACGAAAGCUAGGGGAGCAAACAGGAUUAGAUACCCUGGUAGUCCUAGCCCUAAACGAUGGAUACUUGCUGUGAGGGGGAUUGAAACCCUUUGUGGCGAAGCUAACGCAUUAAGUAUCCCGCCUGGGGAGUACGGUCGCAAGGCUGAAACUCAA
RNAcentral lists this ribosomal RNA (699 nucleotides) under uncultured bacterium. RNAcentral describes it as "bacterial SSU rRNA". It matches the Rfam family "Bacterial small subunit ribosomal RNA", at positions 196 to 904 of the family's 1533-position model. The record is from RNAcentral.